This 165-nucleotide unclassified non-coding RNA is filed under the name uncultured Idriella. Its description in RNAcentral is "sequence contains ITS1". Lineage: Eukaryota; Fungi; Ascomycota; Sordariomycetes. The record is from RNAcentral.
CAGAGUUUUAUAACUCCCAACCCUUUGUGAACUUACCUUUGUUGCCUCGGCGGGGCCUACCCGGUACCGAUCCCUUUUGGGAGAAGUUACCCUGUAGCCCGCCGAUGGCUAAUAUCAAACUCUUGAAUUACCCUGUAAUCUGAGCGUUAUUUUUAAAAUAAGUUA